UCAAACUAAUUGGACGACAUUGAGGUGCCUUUCAGCACCCUCCAUCUAUAUUUUAUGACCAUAUUUGGUUAUUAGUCGUCCUUUCCCACUACCGUCAGGGGCCGUAAUCUGUUUCUUGCUGUGUGAGUCUCUUUCUGGGACCAGGUGCAUGCAGAGUGCUGCUCCCAAGGUCAGGCUUCUGAAGACUCAACGGCUGCGUGGGAAACCGGUCUCCUUCGUUGAGCUGACGCAAAGAAACAGGAAGUGCAUCACUGUAACGACUUCAGAGCAACCUGCGGUGAUCCCACCAGUUUUAUCUCAUGCAUCUGACCUCGACAGUGGAACAGACCAGGAAACACGACGGCUUACCUCUCAAAAGUGGGUUGAUUCUUGUCAUUUACGCCUGAAGCAAGGAGGAUGGGAGCAUGGCUGCUGGGACGAUGAGUUCUGAAAGAUAGUCACUGAGCUUGUGUUACAGACAAAGUUAACAGAACCAAAAAGAGAAGAUCUGGACUGGGGAGGGAGAGAAGUUCAGGGCCUCGUUUACCUGUCUGGAACCGUCUCGACAUCUUCUGUACAGUGGCACAUACAGAAAAGAGUGAUAUGAAUUAUGCACAGCUACAGAGUGACAAGAAACCUUUCCACAGGCCACUAAAGUGUGAUUUGUUAUUGUCUACAGAUUCAUAUUUGUACAUCUCUUCCAGGGUUCCACCCUUGCUCUAUUUAUGUGUAUGGGGAGCAUCCAUGUUAUUCUCAUAUUGUGUGGGUUUCCUCCCUAUUUCCAAAAGCACCCCAUUGGGCAGCCCUUUGAACUGCAAUAAUUGAAUUGCACACUGCUGAAAUAGCGUGUGUGUGAAUGCAUGAAUGAUGGACUGCCAUCCCAUCUGGUAUGUCCCCUGCCUUAAGCACUGUGCUUCCUGAGACUGGCUCCAGGCUUGCCUGGACAAGAUAAAUGGCAAGAAGCUGGAUGGAGCUCGCAAUGAAAAAAAAAAGACAAUGAUGUUAACACUGGUAUGAUUUCAACACAAAUUGAAACUCAAAUCUGGACUCAGAUCUGUAAUGAUUCAGGCUCCAAGCACUGACUAACAGGGCUUCAAGCUGGUAAGGUGAUGUUCUCCUCAACGCUUAAUAUAAACAAAGACUAUCACUCAGUGCAGCAGCGUGUUUAGCAGCUAUUUCUCAAUACAGCUGCCAUUAUUUACUUCAGCACUGAGCCGGACCUCAAAAAUUUACCGAGACCCAAACUUUGGUUGUAAGAGCAAGCGGGAGAACUGCUAGCUUACGGCUGCAGAAGUGUGGAAGCAUAAAGCUGUAAAUAUUCACCAAGAAAAAAAAUAACAGGUAUCUCUGCAUCAGGAUCAUGGGGUUGAUUGUUCUUCAUUCAUGCCAGUUUUGAAUGAACUUCUGCUGACUUUCUAUUUGCAGUAUGAACGCAGUGAAAUUACAGUCCUUUGCAAAAGUCUUAGGCAGUCAAAGGAAAUGUUUUAAGCCGUUUGUCUGGGUGAUAAGUGUACAUGUGCUUGGAACAAAAAGCAUAAUUUAACAUUAGAACACAUGCAAAUUGAGAAUAGCAAUAAACACUAACAGAAUUUUC
Long non-coding RNA from Brienomyrus brachyistius, 1573 nucleotides. RefSeq lists it as uncharacterized. The transcript has 2 exons. The record is from RefSeq and is a predicted model, not a curated record. NCBI's taxonomy places the organism in Eukaryota, Metazoa, Chordata, Actinopteri, Osteoglossiformes, Mormyridae.